RNAcentral lists this ribosomal RNA (253 nucleotides) under uncultured bacterium. RNAcentral's name for it is "partial 16S ribosomal RNA". It matches the Rfam family "Bacterial small subunit ribosomal RNA", at positions 524 to 776 of the family's 1533-position model. The record is from RNAcentral.
UACGAAGGUCCCAAGCGUUAUCCGGAUUUAUUGGGUUUAAAGGGUGCGUAGGCGGGUUAUUAAGUCAGUGGUGAAAGCUCCCAGCUCAACUGGGAAACUGCCAUUGAUACUGAUAGUCUUGAGUAUGAUUGAAGUGGGCGGAAUGUGUCAUGUAGCGGUGAAGUGCUUAGAUAUGACACAGAACACCGAUUGCGAAGGCAGCUCACUAAGCCAUAACUGACGCUGAUGCACGAAAGCGUGGGGAGCAAACAGG